UGUAUUUCCUCUGAAAGAAAUGGUUAGAGAUAAUAAGCUUAGAGAUGCUUUCAAUGAAAACGGCAUUUGACUGUAGCUGGUCUGCUUGAAUUCUGGAUAUUCUUCUUCAUUUUCCUGGAUAUCCCCCCUUUUAAAGCAAAGGAAUAAACAUGAUUUACUUGCUCAUACCAGCUCAAGCUAGUCUCUUGGGUUUGAGUUAAAAUGAAUAGGUUAUCAUUCUCGCUCAUGCACAUGGCUUUCAGUUUUCG
Molecule: unclassified non-coding RNA, 248 nt
Filed under: Hevea brasiliensis (rubber tree)
Lineage: Eukaryota; Viridiplantae; Streptophyta; Magnoliopsida; Malpighiales; Euphorbiaceae
Source: RNAcentral